Molecule: ribosomal RNA, 253 nt
Filed under: uncultured bacterium
Lineage: Bacteria
Description: partial 16S ribosomal RNA
Rfam family: Bacterial small subunit ribosomal RNA
Source: RNAcentral
UACGGAAGGGGCGAGCGUUGUUCGGAAUCAUUGGGCGUAAAGCGCGCGCAGGCGGUCCUUUAAGUCUGAUGUGAAAGCCCACGGCUCAACCGUGGAGGGUCAUUGGAAACUGGGGGACUUGAGUGCAGAAGAGGAAAGCGGAAUUCCACGUGUAGCGGUGAAAUGCGUAGAGAUGUGGAGGAACACCAGUGGCGAAGGCGGCUUUCUGGUCUGUAACUGACGCUGAGGCGCGAAAGCGUGGGGAGCAAACAGG